CCUACGGGAGACAGCAGUGAGGAAUAUUGGUCAAUGGGCGAGAGCCUGAACCAGCCAAGUCGCGUGAAGGAUGAAGGAUCUAUGGUUUGUAAACUUCUUUUAUAUGGGAAUAAAGUGAGGAACGUGUUCCUUUUUGUAUGUACCAUAUGAAUAAGCAUCGGCUAACUCCGUGCCAGCAGCCGCGGUAAUACGGAGGAUGCGAGCGUUAUCCGGAUUUAUUGGGUUUAAAGGGUGCGUAGGUGGUUAAUUAAGUCAGCGGUGAAAGUUUGUGGCUCAACCAUAAAAUUGCCGUUGAAACUGGUUGACUUGAGUAUAUUUGAGGUAGGCGGAAUGCGUGGUGUAGCGGGGAAAUGCAUAGAUAUCACGAGGAACCCCGAUUGCGAAGGCAGCCUGCCGGGGUGCGACUGACGCUGAGGCUCGAAGGUGCGGGUAUCAAACAGGAUUAGAUACCCUGGUAGUC
RNAcentral lists this ribosomal RNA (460 nucleotides) under uncultured bacterium. RNAcentral describes it as "partial 16S ribosomal RNA". It matches the Rfam family "Bacterial small subunit ribosomal RNA", at positions 338 to 795 of the family's 1533-position model. The record is from RNAcentral.